Molecule: small RNA, 487 nt
Filed under: Rattus norvegicus (Norway rat)
Lineage: Eukaryota; Metazoa; Chordata; Mammalia; Rodentia; Muridae
Description: uncharacterized LOC102548928
Source: RNAcentral
UCAUUCCACAACCGCCUCCUCUGCUAGACUCUCUUUUUCUCCAAGCCUGUAACACAGAGCUCCAGUGGCCAUUCUUAGAGCCUGGAUUACUUCUGUGUAGAAAGUUCUAGGAGGAGGAACAGUGAAGAAGCAUCUGGAAGCCACGGGAGGGGAGAGAUGGCUUCAUCUUCUGCCUUUCCCAGAAGUCCAACUCUUUGUCCAUCCCAGGAAAGGAUUCCCUCGAUCCCCUAGGACCACCACCGGCCCUAUUACAAAAUUUCUCUCAAAGGCAGUAGACUAAUUAAUGGUCACCCUCUUUUAGGAGGGCACACCUGUCAUGGUGACUCAUGUGUGGAAAUCAGAGGACGGUUUUAGGAGCUGGUUCAUUUCUUCCACCGUGUUGUUGCCAGAGAUCCGACUCAAGUCCAGGCUCAGCAGUGAAUGCAUUUCCCUGCGAACUCUCUCAUCAGCCCUGUGCUUUCUCAACUUUUUCUAAUAAAAAGAUACG